Molecule: ribosomal RNA, 355 nt
Filed under: uncultured bacterium
Lineage: Bacteria
Description: partial 16S ribosomal RNA
Rfam family: Bacterial small subunit ribosomal RNA
Source: RNAcentral
CCUACGGGAGGCAGCAGGGAGGAAUAGUGGGCAAUGGACGCAAGUCUGAACCAGCCAUGCCGCGUGCAGGAAGACGGCUCUAUGAGUUGUAAACUGCUGUUGUACGAGGGUAAACGCAGAUACGCGUAUCUGUCUGAAAGUAACGUACGAAUAAGGAUCGGCUAACUCCGUGCCAGCAGCCGCGGUAAUACGGAGGAUUCAAGCGUUAUCCGGAUUUAUUGGGUUUAAAGGGUGCGUAGGCGGUCGGAUAAGUUCGAGGUGAAAUCCCGAGGCUCAACUUCGGAAUUGCCUCUGAUACUGUUCGGCUCGAGUGUAGUUGCGGUCGGCGUAAUGUCUGGUGUAGCUGUGAAAUGCU